UACGAAGGGUGCAAGCGUUACUCGGAAUUACUGGGCGUAAAGCGUGCGUAGGUGGUUCGUUAAGUCUGAUGUGAAAGCCCUGGGCUCAACCUGGGAAUGGCAUUGGAAACUGGCGACCUAGAGUGCGGUAGAGGGUAGUGGAAUUCCCGGUGUAGCAGUGAAAUGCGUAGAGAUCGGGAGGAACACCGAUGGCGAAGGCAGCCCCCUGGGCUAGCACUGACGCUCAGGCACGAAAGCGUGGGGAGCAAACAGG
This 253-nucleotide ribosomal RNA is filed under the name uncultured bacterium. Its description in RNAcentral is "partial 16S ribosomal RNA". It matches the Rfam family "Bacterial small subunit ribosomal RNA", at positions 524 to 776 of the family's 1533-position model. The record is from RNAcentral.